UACAGAGGUCUCAAGCGUUGUUCGGAUUCAUUGGGCGUAAAGGGUGUGUAGGCGGCGCGGUAAGUCGGGUGUGAAAUCUCGGAGCUUAACUCCGAAACUGCAUUCGAUACUGCCGUGCUUGAGGACUGGAGAGGAGACUGGAAUUUACGGUGUAGCGGUGAAAUGCGUAGAUAUCGGAAGGAACACCGGUGGCGAAAGCGGCGCGCUGGACCUCUUCUGACGCUGAGGCGCGAAAGCCAGGGGAGCAAACGGG
Molecule: ribosomal RNA, 253 nt
Filed under: uncultured bacterium
Lineage: Bacteria
Description: partial 16S ribosomal RNA
Rfam family: Bacterial small subunit ribosomal RNA
Source: RNAcentral